Daphnia magna is the source of this 1280-nucleotide long non-coding RNA. RefSeq lists it as uncharacterized. The record is from RefSeq and is a predicted model, not a curated record. The transcript is spliced from 4 exons. NCBI's taxonomy places the organism in Eukaryota, Metazoa, Arthropoda, Branchiopoda, Diplostraca, Daphniidae.
AAUGAAUAGGGUUAAUGAAAAGUUUGGUCGCUAGAUGCCGAAGAACAAAACAUCUAGCGGACAAAUUCUAAACUACACAUAUCUCUGUUACCCUUUAACACUUUAUGGAGAAGGAAUAGUGCGUGUGUAUGUCUUCUGGUUCCUGCUUUUUUUUUUUUCCCUCUCUCUCUCUCACAUUUUUUGUGUUUUGAAGGAUAAUUUAGCUAAAAUCAAAUGGUGCACAGCCAGGUGUAACAGAGUUGGAGGAAGAUCAAUGCCACAUAUUCUGUAGACUGGGAUACCUCCACUGGCUUCGAGCACUAUUUGUAAUCACAGUUGAAUGUUGCAGUUUUGUUGAUGCAUGCCAUUUGAAAACUGUAAAGUGUCCUUCUUCUUUAUGGUGCCAACCAUUAACCACCACCAUUUCAGCAGCCAUUGGCCCAUCUCCAGUUAGCCAGUCAACUGUCAACAUUAUCACCAUUUUAGCAGCCUUGUGAGAUGUGAGACAGCCAAUGAUCAAUAACAUCAGCACCUUUUUGGACAGGCAAGUGUUCAUCUACUUUUUGCUGUAAAAUUGCAGUACCUACAAUUUUUCAAGUCUUUGCCCUCCAUAGACUUAACACCCUUAUAAACUUCUCAUCUUGCUAUUGUCUGCCGUACAAAAUCAAACACGAAAAUUUCUCGCCCCAUCUUCGUUUCGUCAUCGUCCCUUUGGCGGCUCAUAUUCGUCCCGUUGCCACCUCGUCUUUCUUCCAAUUUUUGCUUCGUUGUCGCCUGGUCUUCGCCCCAUUUUCACUUCGUCGCCGCUUCGUCUUCGCUUCGUCUUCGCUUCGUCUUCGCUUCUUCGCCUCGUCUUCGCUUCGUCUUCGCCUCGUCUUCGCCACGUCUUCGCCACGUCUUCGCCACGUCUUCGCCACGUGCUCGCUGCCUAGUUCGUUCUUCGCGGUAUCGUUAUAUUUUGAAUGUAUAGUACUAGUUAACCCGUUGGCUGCCACCCCGUUUUUCUCCCCCUUUUUUUUUUAGCUGUAGGGACCGGGCGCGCUGUUCUGCCCCAUGGUCUAUAUGCCAUGGGGUGGGGCAGUUGCAAUGCCCUUGCUCCGCCGUAAGGCGGUUAGGCAAUGCACCAGUAGGGACUUCCCUUUGUUCGACACGUUGAUGGAUACCAGGAGUGUGCAUUCUCGUAAUGGUUUGCAUCAGCGUGUCAGCCCGGACUUGUCUACGGACAAGUCCCACCUUGGUCGCAAUCCUUCAGACUCGACACGUAGAAAAGUAGAGACACAACCUAAGGGUUGUACGGCUUG